UCCCGUGUGGCUCAGUUGGUAGAGCAUGGCGCUUGCAAUGCCAGGGUUGUGAGAACGAUUCCCACCGGGGGAC
RNAcentral lists this transfer RNA (73 nucleotides) under Salmo salar (Atlantic salmon). It matches the Rfam family "tRNA". From Rfam's summary of the family: Transfer RNA (tRNA) molecules are approximately 80 nucleotides in length. Their secondary structure includes four short double-helical elements and three loops (D, anti-codon, and T loops). Lineage: Eukaryota; Metazoa; Chordata; Actinopteri; Salmoniformes; Salmonidae. RNAcentral also lists the same sequence under 1 other name. The record is from Rfam by way of RNAcentral.